Molecule: transfer RNA, 75 nt
Filed under: uncultured Gammaproteobacteria bacterium
Lineage: Bacteria; Pseudomonadati; Pseudomonadota; Gammaproteobacteria
Also listed under: 1 other name
Description: tRNA-Ala
Rfam family: tRNA
About the family: Transfer RNA (tRNA) molecules are approximately 80 nucleotides in length.
Source: RNAcentral
GGGCGUAGCUCAGUUGGGAGAGCGUCUGCCUUGCACGUAGAAGGUCAGCGGUUCGAAUCCGCUCGUCUCCACUCU